This 5880-nucleotide long non-coding RNA is filed under the name Ananas comosus (pineapple). RNAcentral describes it as "long non-coding RNA (ACOM_LNC034077)". The record is from RNAcentral. Lineage: Eukaryota; Viridiplantae; Streptophyta; Magnoliopsida; Poales; Bromeliaceae.
GGCCCAGAAACCACUGGAGGGAUAAUCACUGAAAAAGGGGGGGCACAAUCGCUGGCGGAUCAGGUAUAGGUGCAUCCUGACUCCCAGAUACUGGUGUUGUCGCCCGUUGCGACACUAGAUCCUAUAACCUCAUUAUGUUCUCUUCCUGCCUCUGCAUAGCUCCAGCUCCAAUGCGCUCACCGGAGCACGUAGCUCCAGAACUUCGCUAGAUCCAGUCUGCUCUGGCAUCCUAGAAGGUGAUGCCGGAGUGGAUCUCGUCGCACGUCGCGACAUUUCUCUUGAAAUGAACCCUUUACACUAGUAAAACAAUACCAAUCAGGCGAAAGCAAUCAAGUAUAUUUAUACUCAACUCUUAGCUUUAUGUUGUGGGCCCCCAACAUAACUCCUUAGUUGUAUAUAAAUAACACUUGGAUCAGCCCCUAAUUAACAUUAGAGACUUACUAACAACUAACCAAAUUUAUUUAGCUUUCGCUAUCAUUAGAUUCGCGCCACUCGCGUUCCUGGUUCCUAGGUUUCCAUUCCUAAGUCCCCUAGGUCAUCCUAGACUUUCACUAUCACUUGCUCUGAUACCACUCUAUCUGUCACGUCCCGAGCCUCGCCUAUUUGGUCGAUCCGGGCCCGUACACAGACGCCGAACGAACAGUACCUCCUCUGUUCGCCCAAGGCUCAACAACAACGGAUACAUGUAUAAAGAAAUUAAACAAUUCCCAGGAUCACAUUUCAAUAUACAUGGCUUGCACGAUGGCAAGCAACAACACAAGUGAUAGUACGUCUAACUAAACAUAUAAUCCACUGUAAUUUAAAACUUUACAUAACUGAAACAUUUAGUUAUUACAUGCUUUAUAUACAAUCAUUUACAUGUCUCUGUACAUCGAAAUAGAUAAUACAUGAACCCAAAAUGGUAUACCACUAGUACUCGGGUGUCCACUAGCUAGGCUGCUGGCUCUUGCCUCGAUCCUCGGCCACAAUACUCGUACUGGAACCUGUAUGGUUAGUGGUGUGUGAGAACUACAAGAAAGUUCCCAGUGGGUUCGGCUGCCGACUUCGCCGACUCACCCACUAGGUCUAUUCAGGCAUAUGUAGGCAAGAAAAGUAAGCAAAUAGUAACCAACUAUAACAUGUAACUACUACAAUGCCUGUACAAAGCUGAAAGAAGUAACAGAUAUGAAAACUGUAAAUAUGCAUGCAUGCUUUUCAUUAACUUUACCUAAUCUUUUGAUUAACCCUCUGGUUAACAGCUGGACAAGUACGUUAGUCCAUAAAUUUACCCAAUUCAGUGGUUAACCCUUUGGUUAACAAUAACUCACCAACGAAAUCCCUCACGGGCCCUAAGCUGCCUCCCGAUGGGACCGUCUGUCGGACAAGUACGUUAGUCCUGGGGCUAGUACGUUAGCCCAACAAGUGACUACUCCGGAGCUCACUGCCUGGGGGGAGCGACCACCACCAAGCUAAGAAAACAGACUAUGUGAGUAAGAUCUGAUCCCCUUUUAGAGGAUUCAACUGACAACAAUGUCACAAUUUAACUCUAACUAGUUCUUUAUACUAGUUUCAUAAUUGCAUUUCUCGAUGCUAACCAAAUCUCUAAUCAUGAUGUCACCAAGUUUACUAUUGUCUUAGUCCUUUACAGUUUCAUAAUUUCACUGUUUAUCUCACAAUGCUAUCCAAUUCUCUAGUUAGAAUGUCACCAAGUUUACUAUUGUCAAAGUCCAUGCAUUCAUAGGGUUCUAUGUCCACAAUCUAAGGUUCACAAAUUCUCAUUGUUGAUAGGAAUUCACAUUUUCACUCGCUCAAUGCCAAACACCCUAUAAUGCGUGACUACAAAUAUAAAUAUGCUCAACGAAGAAUUAUAGACAUAAAAGGUGAUUCAAAGAGUUCGGAUAGCACCACCCACCUGUAGUGGUGUCAAUCAACUAAAAUCCACGUCUCGGAAAGCGUCGAGACUAUCUCUCGCGACUCCAUGCAAUUAGGACUAGAACGGCCGCUACCGUAAUUAGCGCGUCGUCGACCUGUCGGAAAGUCAAAUUAGACUCUUGGGCACGUUUACUUUUCACUUAUAAAGGAUUAGAAAAGAUUAAACUAGAGUCAAUACUCAUAUUUUACAAAUUAGCAUUUCAAUGCUAUAUAAAACGGCAACUAUAGCCGAAAAACUUCUUUUGGCGAUAUCUUUGCGUAGGUUCGUCGGAUUGCCGAACCGACUUCGCCAACGCGUUUCUUUUACCCUCAAUUUGGUUUACACGCGGUCAAUUUCGCAUUAGGACUCUUAUUUUGCAAAAGUGCAUUGCCGGGGUCAGUUUUCAUUUAAACCCCGUUUUUAUAGAAACCCUAACUUAUUUUGCAUCUUUUCAUUUUCUUUCUUUCAUUUUUUCUUCUUAUUCUUUCUUUCUUUUCUUUUCUUACUUUCUUUCUUUCUUUCUUUCUUUUCUUUCUUUCUUUCCUCACUUUCUUUCUUUCUUUCCUUUUCUUUCCCUGCAGGCUGCAGCUGCUGCUGCUGUUGAAGCUUCUCUGCUGAAGCUGCUGCUGCUGCGGACUGCUCAGCAGCUAGCUGAGCUGCUGCUGCUGAAGCCCUGCUGCUGCUGCUGUUCUUGCUAAGCUGCUGCUCAGCAGCUUGCGCAAGCUGCUGCUGCUGCUAAAGCUCUGCGCAAGGCUGCUGAGGCUGCUGCUGCUAACUGCCGAGCUGCUGCUGCUGAUUCUACUACUGCUGCUGCUGAAGCCCCUGCUGACAGCAGCUACCACUGCUGACUGCCAAGCUGCUGCUGCUAUUACUUGCUCAGCCUCUAGGCUGAGCUGCAGCUGCUGCUGCUGAUUGCUUGCUGCUGCUGACAGCAGCAGAGAAAAGGGAGUGAGGGGGGGAAAGAAAACAGAGCAAAGAGAGGAAAAGAAAUAGAAAUCUUUACCUUUCUUUCUUCUUUGUCUUUCUUCUUCUUCUUCUCUUUUCUCUUCUCUUCUUUGCUCCUUCUUUUCUCCUUCUCUCUCUCUGGACGUAGGCAGCAAGAAUGAAGAGGGAGGGGAUAAGGAUGGAGCUCCCUGGCAGGGGACUUAGUGGAAUUCCACUAACUUGGUGAUAAUUACCAUAAUGCCCCUCGACUAAUCCGUUUAGCGACACGGAUCAACUACCUUUCGCAGGCCCUUCCGAAAGUCCGAUUGAGCUCAAAUUUGGCAGGAAUGUUCGUUUUUACUUAACAAGUCCACUGAAAUUUUAACAUUUCAGUUUCGACCCCGUUUGGUCACUGCGAACUGUCCCGAACUGUAAUCUUUAUCAGAUAACUUCCAGAUGCUAUUUCUCUCUCUACAGGUGUCAGAAAAAUCUGAAACUUCAAAACUAACCUUAUAAUAAUGUUCCUGACAUCUCUGCCAAUUUUCGUAAUUUUCUGACACUGUGCAUUUUCUGCUAAUUUUCUCAGUCCCGUUCUUUACAGAAAAUUUCAAAUCUUCUGUUUUUGCUCCGAUUUUAACACGAACACUUCCAAAACAUGCCAAGGGACUUUCACAAGCUACCAAUUCAAUUUGGAAGGCAUUCCUUUUCAUUUUGACAUCAUAUGGUUCAUUUCGACCAAAUCGACUACAUAAUUCAGCAUUCGAGUUACAAUGGCAAUUGGAGUUCUUUUGUCACUUCGUUUCCACUUGUAUCUAUUCCCACACUUCCAAAGUGUGCCAAUGACUGAUCUCAAGCUUCUAAUUCAGUUUAGAAGUCUCUAAUUUCCAUUUUAGCAUUAUUGUGCCCACUUUGAUCACAAUUAGCUUCUAAUCAAGUUUCAGUCUAUUACAAUCUCCCCUCCUUAAAAUAGUUUCGUCCUCGAAACUCGAUUUCAUACUUCAAUUCUCCUGGUCAAAUAGAUGAGGGAAGAGAUUCCAUCACUCGCAAUUUCCACUUCUCAACGAAGGGUUCAUUCUAACAGCUCCACACUUAAAUGAUCUGACGGCAUAAUCCGCCAACAUUUCCCGUGGCUACUCAUUACUCAAGUGUCUCCUAGAGACCACUUUACUUUCUCUUUAUCCUUGGAUGCUACAAGCCACCAUCAAUGUCCAUUCGUCUUGCAACGAAUUUAUACGAACCCGCCAUUCAUGGUUCAGGCCAAAACAAACUAACAGAGUUGUCGGUCACACCGACCAUCGGUUCCCACAGGUGGACCAGGGGCCACCAACCCUACGUAGGCCUACAGCCGAAACCGAUCUCGACGACGCCUAGCGUCUCUCGCUCGCAAGCGCAAACCCAAUUAUCACGUAGCAAAGUUCUCAUUUGAGACAUCGCAUACCUGCUCCAACUGGGAGCAACCGAGACCCUAAACCACGCCAAAUUCUCGGGUUGGGUCGCUACACACCCUGUGUGUCCUCGAUCUCACGAUCUAACACGUGGCAUUCCACGUACUCGGGUCUAUGCUCGGACUACCGUCCUGACCAAAACUCUCUGCCCUACCCGUAGGUACCGGGACGCUGCCUCUCGCAGCUGACUGCGCCUGCCCAAUGGGCCCAGGCUCCACAGUCCAAAAAGGGUCCAGGCACGGCUCGUCCCCAAGCACUACCCGCCAACGUCGUUUCACACGAAAUGCUCUACAGAGCUACAAGUAUAACUAUCGGCUCCUAAGCACCUAGUGCGAGCCACCAGCCCCGCGAGUGAUCCAUGGCACGCUUCACACUUAGCAACGCUCAGGUGCUACUGCCAACACACUCUCCUGGCUGAAUCAGAAUCCACAUUCUACGGACAGCUAUACUCAAGCGUCCUACACUAUCGCGUCUCUUGCCAGACAUCUCACGCUAGGCAAUUCAGCCUAUGUCUCAAUUACGCAACCACAAUUCCUCAACUUAUUUAAGGUACAACUCAACUAACUCGCCAAAACCAGGCGAUCAUCUAACCACGCCACAACAGUGACGCCCUUACCACUACACAAUCCAUCGGAAAUACCAUCUGGAUUUUCGAACUCUAGAAACGUCUUCUAACGUUUCUACUUUAAUUCUCAUUACCACCCGAAUGGUUUAGAGAAUAGGUCCACCAUGUCCAUCUUCAUCUCGAGCCCCAACAUUGGCUCACUGUGACUGCUCGCUAGCACGAUCCAACUGUCUAUUCCACAAUAGACAAUAUAUUCUCUUCAUCCCUGCAUGCUAGGGUCAAAUCCAAAUUUCUAUCACACUCUUGCAUGUACCGCUCGGAGUUCGUAUCGUUUCCAAGUAUACAAUCUUCUUACUGAAGGCAAAUUACCAUCACUUCACUUAUCCAAUACUACACGCGGCCUUGCCGUGUGAAAGUCACCACAAUCAUUCCUCUCGAAGUAAAAGGUCAACCAACAGACCUUUCCGAAUUCUAGGAUAACGACUACAACUCCCUUCCGGGUGUCACUUAACACUCGAUUAACCACUUAAGCUCAAUAUCAGUCGCUUAUCCUUCAUUCUUCACUAAUCAAUUCGCGCAUCUUCCGCACAAAUAUCACUUAACUUCGACCAUAAGAUUCAAUUUGAUACUUCCUCAGAAGUUCAUAGCUUAGGACUGCGUAUAACUUUGACACAUUUUCUGUCGAAGUUUCCUUAUUUCAUAAUCGGCCUUGUUUCCAAUAUCCAAAGAUCUGCCUCUUUUCCACCAAAUAUAGGCGGAUUAAACCGCAUAAACGCCGUCAGUCCUACUAACGAUUGCUUGUGCUCGGCCCUUGUUGCAGUCGAAUCAGAAUCAGACGGCCCAGAAACCACUGGAGGGAUAAUCACUGAAGGGGGGGGGGCACAAUCGCUGGCGGAUCAGGUAUAGGUGCAUCUUGACUCCCAGAUGCUGGUGUUGUCGCCUGUUGCGACACUAGAUCCUGUAACCUCCUUAUGUUCUCUUCCUGCCUCUGCAUAGCUCCAACCAACGCGCUCACCGGAGCACGUAGCUCCUGAACUUCUCUAGAUCCAGUCUGC